UUUUUCGUGUUUUUAGAGGAUUUGAUGCUUUAAAGAUGAAAUGAAGCUUGUUUCUGGGUCAUCCCCUAGUGGUCAGUUUGACUUCGACCCGUAAUAGUGUAAAGUAAUAAAUUAAGUAAUGAAUAAAAGAAAAAUACAAUACGGUGUUAUAAGUGAGCAGUAUGCUAGUUACUGCAAUGUUGAUGACCCCAAAACACAAAGCCAAGGGUUAUGUGAGGUUUUAAGAGCUCCCUGUUUACUUUAAUAGUUAGCAGUUACUGUAUAUGUGAGAUAAAAACUCAGUUGUUGAGUUUUGCGUUUCUUAUUUUUUAAUAUUCCUCUUAUAUUUUCUGGUUUAUUAUCAUCAACAUCUAUUAACCAUUUUGUAUCAGAAAUUAUUCACAUUUGCCAUAGAGAUAGAAAAACUGUAUGAAGAACUGAAGGUGAAGCAUCAGCAGAUUCAAGAAGAAGAAAGGAAUUCUGCUUGCCUGAAAUGUUUAUACAUGUAAAAAUAUUUAAAUACAUGUUUGAUGGUUAUGUUUGAUAUUGUUUACAUGAAUUGUUGUAAAUGACAAGAUUUUCACUGCUCAUUAUCAGACACAGAGGAUGAUGUUUAAGUGAAUACAGAAGACUGUCGCGCAGAGCUGAAAAACCUAGGUAUGCGUUUGUUUGAUGAUUAAAUACUGAUACUGAGUAGAACUAGUGGGGUUAGUGAAUGACAGCAAAAAAGUUCAAUUGAAUCUACAAAGAUGGCAAAAUAGACAGUAUUUAAAAAUGUCUUUCUCCAACAGGCAGAAAUCUGAACAAGUGCUGUAAAUGAUGAGCACCAAAUAAAUGCUCAUAAUCACACACAGAGGAUGAUGUUUAUGAAAAUACACAGUCAUCAGUUCUCCAAAAAAAAGAGCUUUUUAAUAUCCUUCCUUCCUUAUGAUAUCUUCAUAAUGGGACCAUAAAAGACAGACACAUAAAAGGUUUCCACAAAAAAGGUCUUGGAAUAUUGUAAAACAGGCACUACUGGAGUACACUGUAUGUACACUACUGUACAAAGGUGUGACUUCAGGACGGUCCAAGGCUGAAAUAGUACAUUUUUAAAAAGAUUCACCUACAACAUUUCCUGGAAUCACAAAGCAUAUAUGAAGCAUGACGCGCGGGUUAGGAAACGGGGGAAAAGUUAAUUAUCCAACAGGUAGACAUCUGAAACUGCUAUAUUUUUAAAUAAAUAUUUUAGAUGUUGUAAGUAUAUGUGAUCAGGCAUCACAAAUUCCAAGGACUUUUAAAUUGUUAGAAUUACAAGCAGUGGAUGAUGACAAUGUGAACACACAGCAGAUGCAUCCGAAGACUAAACAAUGCACAGCUUCAUCUAGAUACAACAUCAUCAUAUCUGCUCUUGGUCUUCUGCUGCUUGGAGCUUUAGCAUCACUCUGUGCUGUAGGGAUCUUGUAUCACAAUAAAGUUGUUUCCACGGAGAUGUUAAGUGAAGGAGACGAGAACACUACAGCCGAACUGAUGGGGCUAAAAUACAAAGCCACUGUGUAAAACAUUAGGGUAAAUGGAGAAGAAGUGACACAGCAGUUCAACACACCUGGGGAACACCUAUGGGUAAACAGCCACCAAGGAAGUGUCCAAGUAGCUCCUGAUACAAAACAAAACUGUACACUUUGUGAGGAAGGAUGGAAGUCUCUUAGUUUAAAGUGUUACUACUUCUCCACUGAUAAACUGAACUGGACACAGAGUCGAGAUUACUGUGUGGAGAAAGGAGGUCACCUGGUGAUUAUAACCAGCCAAACUGAACAGGGCUUUUUCUUCUCACAAUUUGGAGAAACACACUGGAUUGGCUUGAAUGACUUGGAGACUGAGGGUCAGUGAAUGUGGGUGAACAACCAGCCCUUAAAGGAGACGGGUGUAACGUUCUGGUUUAGUUCUCCAGAGGGACCAAAUGAGCCUGAUAACUGGACAAAGAAGGACCCUUCUGGAGAGAAUUGUGCUGCUCUGGGGAACACAAAUGUUAACAUACAUAAAUGGUUUGAUGCUUCUUGUAGUACAAUCAAAAAGUACAUCUGUGAAAAGUAAAAGACAUUUCUCUUACAUUUGAGUCUGCAAAUAUUUGUUUUUAUGAAUGCAGGAAAGUUCUUGGUUGUCGACUAUUUUUGUUGUUGAAGUAUUUAGUUCUGCUUUGUUUAGAUAUUGCCUUUUUUUUUUUUUUUUUUUCUCACCUGUAAUACCAUCGAAAGCCACAUAGGGGCGUUAAUGGGAAAUUGAGCAUAUAUGCCCAGUUAGCAUAGAGUAAGGCAGAUUUGUUUGGGAGAGGAGAACCAUGUGUUUGUCUUCUCUCUCAUAUAUGGCAUCUAAACUUUUUGUGUGAAGAAUUCUGAGUUUUUGCUCUACUAAAGGAUUUUUUUGUUGGAACUGGCAAGAACCAAAAACCUCACUGUAUUGAGUGAAGCAUGUUAGUGGCAAAUAUCUGCUGGAGGAAUCAUUGUGUCUUCAUUUGUGGUCUUCACCUGUGGAUUAAUUCUAUUUUCUUUUGACAUUGGAUCUGAGUGUUGAUGAGGUUACUGCUAUUGCUAUGGCCUCUUGGAGGCGUUGAGGACAGCAGGCCUAUAGACAGCAUUCCAGUUUGCUUUGUCAUGUCUUUGCAAUGUGGAAUUGGGGAUUUAAUAAUUGCAUUGGACUCGAGUAUUGGUCUGGACUUUAAACUGUAAACAUUAUCAUCUAAACUCACCAUAAAACAAUGUUUUGUACUUAAUUGAUAUGAAGACUCAUGAGGUGAUUUCUAUGUAUUUGUUGUUUUCUUUGAAUAUGUUUGGGAGCAUAUGUGGGAUAAAUAA
This is a long non-coding RNA of Tachysurus fulvidraco (yellow catfish), 2807 nucleotides long. RefSeq lists it as uncharacterized. The record is from RefSeq and is a predicted model, not a curated record. Lineage: Eukaryota; Metazoa; Chordata; Actinopteri; Siluriformes; Bagridae. The transcript is spliced from 7 exons.